RNAcentral lists this long non-coding RNA (379 nucleotides) under Homo sapiens (human). Its description in RNAcentral is "non-protein coding lnc-HMGN5-7:1". The record is from RNAcentral. Lineage: Eukaryota; Metazoa; Chordata; Mammalia; Primates; Hominidae.
AUGGCACCCGUGAAAAAGCUUGUGAUGAAGGGGGGCAAAAAAAAGAAGCAGAUUCUGAAAUUCACUCUUGAUUGCACCCACCCCAUAAAAGAUGGAAUCAUGGAUGCUGCCAAUUUUGAGCAGUUUUUGCAAGAAAGCAUCAAAGUGAUCAGAAAAGCUGAGAAACUUGGUAAGGGGCAGUGACCAUCGAAAGGAGCAAGAGAAAUAUCACCGUGACAUCCCAGGUGCCUUUUUCCAAAAGGUAUUUGAAAUAUCUUACCAAAAAAUAUUUGAAGAAGAAUAAUCUAUGUGAUUGGUUGCACGUAGUUGCUAAGAGAGUUAUGAAUUCCGUUACUUCCAAAUUAACCAGGAUGAAGAAGAGGAGGAAGAUGAGGAUUAA